UAGUGCCUACGGGGGGCAGCAGUAGGGAAUUUUCGUCAAUGGGCGCGAGCCUGAACGAGCAAUGCCGCGUGAACGAGGAGGGUCUUCGGAUCGUAAAGUUCUGUUGAAGGGGAAAAAGAGCGGAGAGAGGAAAUGAACUCCGAUUGAUAUUACCCUUCGAGGAAGUCACGGCUAACUACGUGCCAGCAGCCGCGGUAAUACGUAGGUGGCGAGCGUUAUCCGGAAUGAUUGGGCGUAAAGGGUGCGUAGGCGGCCUGCUAAGUCUGGAGUGAAUGGUACCGGCUCAACCGGUACAGGCUCUGGAA
This 305-nucleotide ribosomal RNA is filed under the name uncultured bacterium. Its description in RNAcentral is "bacterial SSU rRNA". It matches the Rfam family "Bacterial small subunit ribosomal RNA", at positions 333 to 631 of the family's 1533-position model. The record is from RNAcentral.